GUGGCAAGCGUUUUCCGGAAUUAUUGGGCGUAAAGCGCGCGCAGGUGGUUUCUUAAGUCUGAGGUGAAAGCCCCCGGCUCAACCGUGGAGGGUCAUUGGAAACUGGGAGACUUGAGUGCAGAAGAGGAGAGUGGAAUUCCAUGUGUAGCGGUGAAAUGCGUAGAGAUGUGGAGGAACACCAGUGGCGAAGGCGACUUUCUGGUCUGUAACUGACACUGAGGCGCGAAAGCGUGGGGAGCAAACAGGA
Molecule: ribosomal RNA, 247 nt
Filed under: Bacillus sp. (in: firmicutes)
Lineage: Bacteria; Bacillati; Bacillota; Bacilli; Caryophanales; Bacillaceae
Description: Bacillus sp. (in: Bacteria) partial 16S ribosomal RNA
Rfam family: Bacterial small subunit ribosomal RNA
Source: RNAcentral